GGAAUUUUUGGCACGGGGCUAAGGUCAUUCUGAACUUCGUUCUGGGCAUAUGACUUCCCAGAUUUAAAACCCUUGCCUAUUCUUGCGGGCCUAAGCACAUUCUUCCCUUUAUUCUUCCUUUUUUUUUUCUUUUUCUUUUUUUCUCCCUUUUUUUUCUUUCUGGACUUUUUCUUUACUUUGGGAUUAGAUGUCCCAUUUUGCAAUUUUUGCACUAGUCCUGCCCAUAGGAUCCACUACACUAUCUUCCCUUCUUUUGCCCUUAAAUUCAGUUUGACCGGGACGGCUCAAUUCUAGGCAAAUUUAUAAGUGAAUUCAAAUGAAUUAUUAAGCUCAAAAGGGUUCACAAGUGAUAGAUGUAGGGUUGGUCAGUUUGGCU
This 376-nucleotide long non-coding RNA is filed under the name Salvia miltiorrhiza (redroot sage). RNAcentral describes it as "long non-coding RNA (SMIL_LNC013412)". Lineage: Eukaryota; Viridiplantae; Streptophyta; Magnoliopsida; Lamiales; Lamiaceae. The record is from RNAcentral.